This is a long non-coding RNA of Salvia splendens (bonfire salvia), 587 nucleotides long. RefSeq lists it as uncharacterized. The record is from RefSeq and is a predicted model, not a curated record. NCBI's taxonomy places the organism in Eukaryota, Viridiplantae, Streptophyta, Magnoliopsida, Lamiales, Lamiaceae. The transcript is spliced from 2 exons.
GGUCCUUGUAUGUGGCUUCUAGUAAAUAUACUUCAUACCCUGAUCUCUGCAAUAAAGCAAAUGACAAUGAAUCAAGGAGGAAACAAUGAACCGGACUACUUCACUACAUCAUGACCUUAAAGAGUGUAACUGAAAAACAAAAGAUCAACAGAUGAAUGAAGGAAGAGUACAAGCGACACAAAGAAGCUAACAUCUCAAAGAAAUAAUGAAAAGUUAAAAUAAAAAAGCAUACCACAAGGGUUCCUGGAAGAUAUAUGGGAAUUCUUAAAAAAGGUUUACAUUACAUGUCUCCUCUAUCAGUGAUGAGGAGAUGCUUCAAAUGGAAAAGUGGAACCAAAACAUAAUGCAACAAACUUGCAAGUCUCACAAGCUCAAAUGGAAAAGUGGAACCAAAACAUAAUGCAACUAACUUGCAAGUCUCACAAGCUUCAAAAGGAAAACUAGGGUUUUAACAGGAAUUAGCCUAAGAUCAGACAAAUCUAUAUGAGUAAUGAUAAUAGAAACUUGAUAUCAAAACUGUAAGCAACAUAUGAAUUAUGAUACAAAAUCAGCAUUCCCAUAUUCAUUCAAGCUACACUAAAGAAAGA